GGUGCAUAUGACCCGCUUUAACAGCUGAAGACCGCAAUAAACUGCCGUUUUUUAAGGAAUUAUAACUACCUUGACAUGGUAGGGGUCACAGGUUCAAUCCCUGUUGCGCCCACCA
Molecule: transfer RNA, 115 nt
Filed under: Gluconobacter albidus
Lineage: Bacteria; Pseudomonadati; Pseudomonadota; Alphaproteobacteria; Acetobacterales; Acetobacteraceae
Description: tRNA-OTHER
Source: RNAcentral